This 77-nucleotide transfer RNA is filed under the name Mycoplasma sp. CAG:611. Its description in RNAcentral is "transfer RNA-Met(CAT)". It matches the Rfam family "tRNA". From Rfam's summary of the family: Transfer RNA (tRNA) molecules are approximately 80 nucleotides in length. Their secondary structure includes four short double-helical elements and three loops (D, anti-codon, and T loops). RNAcentral also lists the same sequence under 3 other names. Lineage: Bacteria; Bacillati; Mycoplasmatota; Mollicutes; Mycoplasmatales; Mycoplasmataceae. The record is from RNAcentral.
CGCGGGGUGGAGCAGCUUGGUAGCUCGUCGGGCUCAUAACCCGAAGGUCAUAGGUUCAAAUCCUGUCCCCGCAACCA